Molecule: long non-coding RNA, 1312 nt
Filed under: Gallus gallus (chicken)
Lineage: Eukaryota; Metazoa; Chordata; Aves; Galliformes; Phasianidae
Description: lncRNA (ENSGALG00010027434.1)
Source: RNAcentral
AUGGGCUUUUACGUUGCUUCCAAGCCAAUCAUUCCAUGAUUUUCUGAAAUGUGAUGUUCCCCUUGCUGAGAAAGGCACUGUGAAAUCUGGGUGUUUUUGCAUGCACCACCAUUGGAGAGCAGCCAACAUGCCAUAGGAUGGUCCAAUGGACUGCGGAGAACCUGAACAAUGCUUUCUGCUUUUAACCUGAUGCCUGAUAAGAAGAUUGAUCUGCCUACAUACAGAUAUUUACAGUUUAGAUGGAGGAAUAUGGGUUGGUUACCUUCUGUGCCUCUUGUACUCAGUGGAUAGUGUACCUUUGCAGCCAGUGGAGCUGGGAGCACAAUUCCUCUUUUCCCAGACACUACUGGCCACCAUGCAUUGAUCUUUACCAGCUCUAUCUGAUUGAUAGAGACUUCAAGCAUCAAACUUCACACACCCUCUCAGCAGGAAUGCCUCUACAGAACUUCCAUCCAUCACAAGGAAGUCAACUCUUGCGAGCUCACAGGUCAUCUGAGAUGAGAUCAUCUGAGCUAAUCUGGUACAGUCAGGUUCUAUCGUGGCAGAAUUGAACAGGGUGAUAUCCAUGAAGAAUCAGCUGAAGUAGGCAAAGGAUAGGCUAUGUGACAUAAGGGAAGGAGGGGUGAAUUUACUCUGGAUAUGCUUGCAUGAAUGGAAUCAUUUGGUCACAGACAGAAACAAAAAGUGGAGUAGGUGCUAGGGCUCACUUUCUGCUGGUGUUACAAAAACUGGCAUUGUGGGUGCUCCUCAGCUGGCACCAGACCAAAUCAGGAGGAGAAUGACCACCACGAAGCCCUAAGGAACCUGGCAGAUAUUUGUACUGAUGUUUGGCCCAGGUAGUUGUAAGCAAGAAGAGUGGGUGAUUGGAAGCAAUACGACUGGAGAUGGGAGAUCCAUGAAACUACUUUCGGACUACCGCCCAUUGAACCCUACAAUAGACCUCCCUGGCUCCUUGGUCUUCCUGUCUGACCUUGCAUUACACUUCCUGCCAGUUGGGUAGUGAGAAAUCUCAGACUUGAAACCUCACAGCCAGCCUCCGCCAGACCCUUAAAGAGCUGCUAAUGUGAGUCGUAAAGCCGCAGUAGCCUAGGAUGUAGCAGCGUUUUGACAGCUGUUCCCACAGAGGAAGUGGGUGAAGCUAGAAUGCAUAUUGUAAGAAUAUGGGAUUAAAAAUAAAAAAUAGAGUAUCAAAUGAGAAACUACACCUCCAGAAAAAUAAAGUGUGUUUCCUUUCCCCUUCUCUCCCGUUACUUUCCUUAGGGCCAUUGCUAGGUCUUCACAAGAAGGUGGUUUCAGCAUCCGUGGAUAUGCU